Molecule: transfer RNA, 84 nt
Filed under: Candidatus Hydrogenedentota bacterium
Lineage: Bacteria; Pseudomonadati; Candidatus Hydrogenedentota
Description: Candidatus Hydrogenedentes bacterium tRNA-Ser
Rfam family: tRNA
About the family: Transfer RNA (tRNA) molecules are approximately 80 nucleotides in length.
Source: RNAcentral
KGAGGAUUAGCAUAAUUGGUAAUGCACCGGUCUUGAAAACCGGCGGCUUCGGCUUUGUGGGUUCGAGUCCCUCAUCCUCCGCCA